RNAcentral lists this microRNA precursor (121 nucleotides) under Procavia capensis (Cape rock hyrax). RNAcentral describes it as "miRNA (ENSPCAG00000018987.1)". The record is from RNAcentral. Lineage: Eukaryota; Metazoa; Chordata; Mammalia; Hyracoidea; Procaviidae.
UGUGCAUGUGUAUGUGUAUGUGUAUGUGCAUGUGCAUGUGCAUGUGUAUGUGUAUGUGUGUGUGUGCAUGUGUAUGUGUGCAUGUGUAUGUGUGUGUGCAUGUGUAUGUGUAUGUGCAUGU